Cucurbita moschata (crookneck pumpkin) is the source of this 592-nucleotide long non-coding RNA. RefSeq lists it as uncharacterized. The transcript has 3 exons. NCBI's taxonomy places the organism in Eukaryota, Viridiplantae, Streptophyta, Magnoliopsida, Cucurbitales, Cucurbitaceae. The record is from RefSeq and is a predicted model, not a curated record.
AAGAUAAUCUGUUGUUCAACAUUUCAAAAGACUUUUCAUAUUGCCAUUCUCAGAUCAUGUAAGCAAAUGGUUGGUACAGUUUUGAGGAUUCAGAGAGAUUCCAUAAGGCAAAUGAUACCGAUAGCCCACUCUGCUCGGUCCUGAUGUUGCAUCGUUUAAGGUUUUAAAAAGCCUAAGCUAUGGGCUGAAGACAUCAAAUGACAGUACAAUGUGAAACUCACAGUCUAAAAAAGUAGACAUGAUUUGCAGACAGGAUAACAAAAUCACAUCAGACAUAGCCAAUAUUAGGACGAACAGAAGCUCUCUUUUCAGAAGCUUAGCUACACAGACUACUGAUGAAAUGAAGCAGAAAGGUCUCUUUCUUGAAUCUAUUUCCCUUUCAAAUUAUUAUUGUUUUUCGUUAUAUGUUUAAAUGAAUACGCAUUUGACAUCUGUCAUACAUAAAGUUUGAUGAAUAGCUCUAAGUAAACGCUAAUUUUAGAAUGAAUUUGCUUUGGAGUUGGAUGGUGUUGGACAAUCUGGAUGAGUCUUGUUCUUGGUGUUGAUAAUAGAUAUUGAUGGAGGAAUUGUUCAUUGAUGGAACUAAAAGUUC